Molecule: ribosomal RNA, 492 nt
Filed under: uncultured bacterium
Lineage: Bacteria
Description: partial 16S ribosomal RNA
Rfam family: Bacterial small subunit ribosomal RNA
Source: RNAcentral
AGUGAACGCUGGCGGCAGGCCUAACACAUGCAAGUCGAGCGGCAGCACGGUGAGAGCUCGCCUUUACGGGUGGCGACUGGCGGGUGGGUGAUGCGUACAUAGCAUUCUUAUUUGUCUUGGGUGAUAACGUGGGGACGCAUACGAUAAUGGAUCAUAUGACGUACGGGAGGGAGCAGUGGAUCUUCGGGCAUUGGGCGAUACUAAGAGCCGAUGUCGGAUUAGCUAGUUGAGGGGGUAAAGGCCCACCAAGGCGACGAUACGUAGCUGGUCUGAGAGGAUGAUCAGCCACACUGGAACUGAGACACGGUCCAGACUCCUACGGGAGGCAGCAGUGGGGAAUAUUGGACAAAGGGCGAAAGCCUGAUCCAGCCAUGCCGCGUGAGUGAAGAAGGUCUUCGGAUUGUAAAGCCCUUUUAUUGGGGAAGAAAAGAAGUAUGUUAAUACCUCGCUGUUUUGACGGUACCCAAAGAAUAAGCACCGGCUAACUUCGUG